RNAcentral lists this ribosomal RNA (253 nucleotides) under uncultured bacterium. RNAcentral describes it as "partial 16S ribosomal RNA". It matches the Rfam family "Bacterial small subunit ribosomal RNA", at positions 524 to 776 of the family's 1533-position model. The record is from RNAcentral.
UACGUAGGGUCCAAGCGUUGUCCGGAAUUAUUGGGCGUAAAGAGCUCGUAGGCGGUGUGUCGCGUCGGAUGUGAAAGCCCGGGGCUUAACUUCGGGUCUGCAUUCGGUACGGGCAUGCUGGAGUUCGGUAGGGGAGACUGGAAUUCCUGGUGUAGCGGUGAAAUGCGCAGAUAUCAGGAGGAACACCGGUGGCGAAGGCGGGUCUCUGGGCCGAUACUGACGCUGAGGUGCGAGAGCGUGGGGAGCGAACCGG